GACGAACGCUGGCGGCGUGCUUAACACAUGCAAGUCGAGCGGUAAGGCCCUUUCGGGGUACGACGAGCGGCGAACGGGUAGGAGUAACAACGUGGGUGGACCUCGCCCUUACGUCUCUGGGAGUAAAGACCGUCGGGAAACGUAGGGUCGUAAUAACCGGACGUAUGACUCCACUGACGCAUGUUGGUUGGGGUGGGAAAGACC
RNAcentral lists this ribosomal RNA (204 nucleotides) under uncultured bacterium. RNAcentral describes it as "partial 16S ribosomal RNA". The record is from RNAcentral.